UUUCCUAACUGUUCGUUCGGUUAAGUCCUCUCCUGUUCUCUGCCUCUUUCCCGUCGCCGACGCUACUCGCCCUCGACGCCACCGCCGGACGUUGCUCGCCCUCGACGCUCUCGCCGGACGCCUCUGACCCUCGACGCCGGCGCUGGACGCCGCUCGUCCCGUCGCUGGACGCCAGUCGGCCUGCGCUCGCCCCGCCCUUGCCUCCUCGACGCCGCCGCUGGACGCCGUUAGCCCUCGCUCGCCUCGCCGCUCAGCCGCUCGCCCUCGACGCCGCCGCUGGACGCCGCUGGUCCCCCUGGUAGAAGCCGCUCGCCGCUCGCCCAGCCGCCCCUGACGUUGCUCGCCGAGUCACCCCGAAGCCGCUCGCCCAGCCGCCCUCGACGCCGCUCACCUAGUCACCCCCGACGCCGCUCGCCCAGCCUCCCCGAAGCCGCUCGCCCAGCCGCCCCUGACGCCGCUCGCCUUUUGUGCCGGUAAUCUCAACACAUACUAAUACUGAGAAGUACAAAUGGUAAACAAUCGUCAUUUAGAAAUAUGCAUGACUGUUUUUACAGGUCCAGAGAUGUUUUGCACCACUGUCUCUGUUUUUACAGGGCCAGAGAUGCUCCUAAGUAAAUCAUCGAUCUUCAACAGAUUUGUGAAGUGAGGUGGCUGAAGACUUGGAUUGUUUCAAACAUACGAUUGUGAGUGGUAAUAAUUAGAUCAUUUCUGAAUCGUGUAAAUCUGUUAAAGUUAGAUAGGUUCACUCUAGACCAAUGCAAGAGUAAACACGAAUCUUGCCUGACUGAUUAUGACUAAACAGCCUUAAACUAAUGGUAAAAAAUCUAGAGAGUGCUUUUGCUCUGGAGAUCUGCACUGGGGUAAUCAGCAUAAGAAGAUGUUAAAAGCUGCUCCAUUUGGGGUUUUCAGGAUCGUAUGGUGUGUAUUUCACGAGAGAAUACUGAGGUUUUGUAGAGGCUUCAACUGUUUGCUGUUCAUUUUCAUACAAACUAUCCUCUGUAUAUUGUGGUGUAAUUCCUUAGCUUCUGUUUUUCCUGUUGAAACUCUGAAAAAAGAUUUCCUGUAAAGACUUGUUUGCAUGCUGAGAACUGAUUUCCCUGGCAAAUAAGCAUGCUAAUUUUUAAGUAUUGUCAAGUCUCUAUAAUGUUGAUUUCUUUGUGAUUUCAGUAAUUAGAAUCGUUGAGGAUGUCGCUGAGUCCAAGGUAUGUGCAAGCCUUCUGCUUUCUUCUUUCGUUGUUCUCAUGUGUCUCUGAUGUUUAUGCAGUACUUGCUGUGCCACUUUUCCCAUGCUGUACUUUAUUUUGUUAAUCAGAGCUGGAUUACAGCUUUCCACCGAGGCUUUUUUCACAAAAAAAUUGUGUGGCUGUUUUUGGUAAAAUAUAUAUUUUUCGGAAGAAAUGCUGUUAUGGUUUAAACUGUGUCCGUGUUUCAAAUUUAACUAAUUGAUGAGUCAAGACUGAAUAGCUUUGGUACUCCCACAAUGAUAAUAUAUUGUUAUGCAGAGUUUCUUUUGAAGUUGAUGCCACAUUGAGAAACUCUUUUUGUACAUCUGGCUCUUGGUUGUACAUAGUUCUGUGAAGUAUAUGUGUGCAAACAUGUGCCUAUUGUCUAAUCAUUUUUCUGUUUUUAACACAUGAAGGAGAAUCAAUGUGCGGUUCUGAGCUAAAACAGUGAGCUGCUGGAUUCAAAGAUAUAAACCUUUUUGUUCUUUUUUUGGACAGGCACCAGAAGCUUAGCUACAAAGCGACUCCUGGGGAUGAAGUUGAAGAUAUGUAUGAGUUGUUGAAAGAAGUUAAACAGAAGAUACCAUCAAUUGAGGCGGUAUCUUCCAGGGCAAUAACUUCUGAUUAUCAAGGGCUACUGGUGGAAAGUGUCUGUUCAAGGUUAGGGCUUGUUUCUCUGGCAUAUUUAUGGAAACAGGAUCAGUCAAUGCUUCUUCAAGAAAAGAUUGACAAUGGAAUAUUGGCCAUCAUGGUGAAGGUGGUGGCUAUGGGGUUGAAGCCCUGAAAAGCAUUUGGGGAAAGAUAUCUCUUUCUUGUACUCAUACCUCCAUAAAUUGAAAGGGUUGUAUGGAAUUAACUAGGGGAGUACGAAACUUCAACUCUCGAUUGUCCCCUCUUUGUCAAACACUGAAGUCAUUGAAAAGAGAAUCACAGAGGGUGUCAUAGUGCGCAGACUAGGCUUAUAGUAUCUCCCAGCCUUAAUGUUGCAAGUUUUGUUGGGUACAGGUGGUAUGAUUUUUCCUGCUUGGCUCUUGUUAUAUGUAGAGUUUGGAAGGACAUGUCUUCAUAUGCAGGUGAUUGAAGAAGCUACCUGAUUUGAUUGUGUGAUCCCAUCUUCUGGACUUUAUGGUGCCCUGCUUCCUUGGAGUGUUUUUCGAUGGUCUGGUUCCUGGAAUUUCCAUUGGCCUUUAUUAUAGUAGGACUUUCCGAUUUCCUCUGAUCAAUAUAGAUCUCCACAACUCGACUUAACUUUUCCACAGGGUUCUAGUUGUACAUUACUACUGUCUGCCAUUCGAAGGAAAGCCUGUUACAAUGAGUAUGAGGAUUUUACUGACUAGGUCUGGUCCUUCAGAUCUGCAUGCACUCCUAUGGAAGUUUCAUUUAUUGCGGCGAAACUCUCCCGUAGUGUUGAGGGCUGGGAGUUAGGAGCUCUUUAACUAGAAGUGGAAUAAUGCUUACUCGGUGUGCUCCCUAUUGGAGGGCCUUGUGAGAUACAAUUGAGUUUCCAAUGAGUGAUUGGCUUUUGUAUCUGUGUGAUCAUUAAUUCAAAAUGAAGGGGCCUGAUGUUGUAAGAUGAGAUAGUUAUCACCCUUUAUGGAGGUGCAUAUGGUCUUGAUUGUAGGAUAUAUACAAUUGUCAAGCUAUGACUUCUCAAAACAUUGUUCGUCAGAUUUUGGCUAAACUAAUUUUGCAGCGGCGUUUUCUCUUAGCUUGACGAUGGUUGUAUCCAGGAAGUCCAGUUGACUAUGUUCACAAGGCUCCGCCUUUCUAGGAGUUUCUCCGUCCGUUUGUAUUAGUAAACACACAUACUUGAAGAAAA
This is an RNA transcript of Eucalyptus grandis, 3042 nucleotides long. It is a transcript of the gene named diphthine--ammonia ligase-like, with no coding region annotated. The record is from RefSeq and is a predicted model, not a curated record. The transcript has 8 exons. Lineage: Eukaryota; Viridiplantae; Streptophyta; Magnoliopsida; Myrtales; Myrtaceae.